Molecule: ribosomal RNA, 2902 nt
Filed under: Escherichia coli
Lineage: Bacteria; Pseudomonadati; Pseudomonadota; Gammaproteobacteria; Enterobacterales; Enterobacteriaceae
Description: 23S ribosomal RNA
Rfam family: Bacterial large subunit ribosomal RNA
Source: RNAcentral
UUAAGCGACUAAGCGUACACGGUGGAUGCCCUGGCAGUCAGAGGCGAUGAAGGACGUGCUAAUCUGCGAUAAGCGUCGGUAAGGUGAUAUGAACCGUUAUAACCGGCGAUUUCCGAAUGGGGAAACCCAGUGUGUUUCGACACACUAUCAUUAACUGAAUCCAUAGGUUAAUGAGGCGAACCGGGGGAACUGAAACAUCUAAGUACCCCGAGGAAAAGAAAUCAACCGAGAUUCCCCCAGUAGCGGCGAGCGAACGGGGAGCAGCCCAGAGCCUGAAUCAGUGUGUGUGUUAGUGGAAGCGUCUGGAAAGGCGCGCGAUACAGGGUGACAGCCCCGUACACAAAAAUGCACAUACUGUGAGCUCGAUGAGUAGGGCGGGACACGUGGUAUCCUGUCUGAAUAUGGGGGGACCAUCCUCCAAGGCUAAAUACUCCUGACUGACCGAUAGUGAACCAGUACCGUGAGGGAAAGGCGAAAAGAACCCCGGCGAGGGGAGUGAAAAAGAACCUGAAACCGUGUACGUACAAGCAGUGGGAGCACGCUUAGGCGUGUGACUGCGUACCUUUUGUAUAAUGGGUCAGCGACUUAUAUUCUGUAGCAAGGUUAACCGAAUAGGGGAGCCGAAGGGAAACCGAGUCUUAACUGGGCGUUAAGUUGCAGGGUAUAGACCCGAAACCCGGUGAUCUAGCCAUGGGCAGGUUGAAGGUUGGGUAACACUAACUGGAGGACCGAACCGACUAAUGUUGAAAAAUUAGCGGAUGACUUGUGGCUGGGGGUGAAAGGCCAAUCAAACCGGGAGAUAGCUGGUUCUCCCCGAAAGCUAUUUAGGUAGCGCCUCGUGAAUUCAUCUCCGGGGGUAGAGCACUGUUUCGGCAAGGGGGUCAUCCCGACUUACCAACCCGAUGCAAACUGCGAAUACCGGAGAAUGUUAUCACGGGAGACACACGGCGGGUGCUAACGUCCGUCGUGAAGAGGGAAACAACCCAGACCGCCAGCUAAGGUCCCAAAGUCAUGGUUAAGUGGGAAACGAUGUGGGAAGGCCCAGACAGCCAGGAUGUUGGCUUAGAAGCAGCCAUCAUUUAAAGAAAGCGUAAUAGCUCACUGGUCGAGUCGGCCUGCGCGGAAGAUGUAACGGGGCUAAACCAUGCACCGAAGCUGCGGCAGCGACGCUUAUGCGUUGUUGGGUAGGGGAGCGUUCUGUAAGCCUGCGAAGGUGUGCUGUGAGGCAUGCUGGAGGUAUCAGAAGUGCGAAUGCUGACAUAAGUAACGAUAAAGCGGGUGAAAAGCCCGCUCGCCGGAAGACCAAGGGUUCCUGUCCAACGUUAAUCGGGGCAGGGUGAGUCGACCCCUAAGGCGAGGCCGAAAGGCGUAGUCGAUGGGAAACAGGUUAAUAUUCCUGUACUUGGUGUUACUGCGAAGGGGGGACGGAGAAGGCUAUGUUGGCCGGGCGACGGUUGUCCCGGUUUAAGCGUGUAGGCUGGUUUUCCAGGCAAAUCCGGAAAAUCAAGGCUGAGGCGUGAUGACGAGGCACUACGGUGCUGAAGCAACAAAUGCCCUGCUUCCAGGAAAAGCCUCUAAGCAUCAGGUAACAUCAAAUCGUACCCCAAACCGACACAGGUGGUCAGGUAGAGAAUACCAAGGCGCUUGAGAGAACUCGGGUGAAGGAACUAGGCAAAAUGGUGCCGUAACUUCGGGAGAAGGCACGCUGAUAUGUAGGUGAAGUCCCUCGCGGAUGGAGCUGAAAUCAGUCGAAGAUACCAGCUGGCUGCAACUGUUUAUUAAAAACACAGCACUGUGCAAACACGAAAGUGGACGUAUACGGUGUGACGCCUGCCCGGUGCCGGAAGGUUAAUUGAUGGGGUUAGCGCAAGCGAAGCUCUUGAUCGAAGCCCCGGUAAACGGCGGCCGUAACUAUAACGGUCCUAAGGUAGCGAAAUUCCUUGUCGGGUAAGUUCCGACCUGCACGAAUGGCGUAAUGAUGGCCAGGCUGUCUCCACCCGAGACUCAGUGAAAUUGAACUCGCUGUGAAGAUGCAGUGUACCCGCGGCAAGACGGAAAGACCCCGUGAACCUUUACUAUAGCUUGACACUGAACAUUGAGCCUUGAUGUGUAGGAUAGGUGGGAGGCUUUGAAGUGUGGACGCCAGUCUGCAUGGAGCCGACCUUGAAAUACCACCCUUUAAUGUUUGAUGUUCUAACGUUGACCCGUAAUCCGGGUUGCGGACAGUGUCUGGUGGGUAGUUUGACUGGGGCGGUCUCCUCCUAAAGAGUAACGGAGGAGCACGAAGGUUGGCUAAUCCUGGUCGGACAUCAGGAGGUUAGUGCAAUGGCAUAAGCCAGCUUGACUGCGAGCGUGACGGCGCGAGCAGGUGCGAAAGCAGGUCAUAGUGAUCCGGUGGUUCUGAAUGGAAGGGCCAUCGCUCAACGGAUAAAAGGUACUCCGGGGAUAACAGGCUGAUACCGCCCAAGAGUUCAUAUCGACGGCGGUGUUUGGCACCUCGAUGUCGGCUCAUCACAUCCUGGGGCUGAAGUAGGUCCCAAGGGUAUGGCUGUUCGCCAUUUAAAGUGGUACGCGAGCUGGGUUUAGAACGUCGUGAGACAGUUCGGUCCCUAUCUGCCGUGGGCGCUGGAGAACUGAGGGGGGCUGCUCCUAGUACGAGAGGACCGGAGUGGACGCAUCACUGGUGUUCGGGUUGUCAUGCCAAUGGCACUGCCCGGUAGCUAAAUGCGGAAGAGAUAAGUGCUGAAAGCAUCUAAGCACGAAACUUGCCCCGAGAUGAGUUCUCCCUGACCCUUUAAGGGUCCUGAAGGAACGUUGAAGACGACGACGUUGAUAGGCCGGGUGUGUAAGCGCAGCGAUGCGUUGAGCUAACCGGUACUAAUGAACCGUGAGGCUUAACCUU